RNAcentral lists this long non-coding RNA (677 nucleotides) under Coturnix japonica (Japanese quail). RNAcentral's name for it is "lncRNA (ENSCJPG00005017942.1)". Lineage: Eukaryota; Metazoa; Chordata; Aves; Galliformes; Phasianidae. The record is from RNAcentral.
ACAGUGAUGGUGUGAAGACCUGAUGUCUUCACUGCUCAGAAACAUGUGUAAAUUAAUAGGCUACUGGGAGAAGAUGAAGAAGCUUUUGCAGAAACAUGAGGAUAUUGUGGGAAAUACUGCUGUUAACCAUUUGGAUUAUAUUGCUGUCUGACACAGAGGUUCUGCAGAUAACGUAAGGAACUGUCCAGAUCUUUUCUUGUUACAUGAUUGCUGAAGCAUUUUCCUGGCACAGCAGUAAUGAUUGAUGAACACACUCCAGGUCUGAAAGCUCUUGAGUGAGUAAUGUAUUAGAAUGGUCUCCACUUCUCCAAGGGGAGCACAAGCUUGAAGUGGGGCAUGCUGUAAGUCACCUGACUUAAGGCAUCAGAGUGAAACUGGCAGAUUCAAAGCUUAACUGCUGCAUUAACUUUUGUCUUCUACUUUGAAGUCAGCUCAUUUUAAAUAGGAAAACAUGCAUCUUUCUUCAUUACCACUAACGAAGGCACUGAAGGAUGAGUCGAUGCCAUUUGUUACAGUCUGCUGUUUGCUAAAUAUGGUACCAGAAGCAGAAAAGAGUGAGCAAGGAAGCUCCUUUGGACAAGCGGGUUCUUGAUAUGAAACAUGAAAGAAAGCAGAGUUGAGUGACUUACUCAAACGCCAUGCUGUGGUCUAAGUCAGCUGUAAGCACUUGGAGCAUC